Molecule: long non-coding RNA, 686 nt
Organism: Lagopus leucura (white-tailed ptarmigan)
Lineage: Eukaryota; Metazoa; Chordata; Aves; Galliformes; Phasianidae
Exons: 5
Source: RefSeq, a predicted model, not a curated record
UUUGUUUUCAAGAGGCGUUAUCUGUCUUUAAUUGUACUUUGUAAACUGAGUGGUCAGAUCCAGCUGAGAUCAAAAGGUUCCCAUCAGAUUAAGGAAGAGGCCUUGUACUGCAUUAUGAUGCUAAUAUCUGGUCCAGCAUCCCACUGCCAAUUAAGUUGGACAAGACAGGCUACGUGGAGUAUGUUCAUCUCAAGCACAGAGAACAGAGAUGGCAAACGUCUGUUGAGUGAAAGUUCCUGCUAUGCACAGCGAAGACUGUUGCAAGAAGGUCUCCCUCCUAACAUGAAGGAGAGUUCACUGCCUCACACUAUGCAUUUGCCAGAUAUUUGCCACAGUAACCACAGAAAUGUUUGUGUCAGCACAAUGGAGGGAAGCGCACAAACAAGACGAGGAAGGCUCCAGGGGUACAGGAACUCUGUCUGCAACCGUGCCACCAAUAUCCAACCACAUCUGAGCCAAUAGAUACUGACGAAGUAUUUAUUGGUGUGUCUGGACUCAGCAGAGCGUUGGAAGGUAAACUGAUAGUGAGAAGAAGGAUCUUGGUGCAUAUAUCCCUGCCAUUGUCAUUAGAAACAACAUGGAGCGGGAAAUGCACUGAAGAAGGAAUGUAACCAUGAAGCUGAAUUUAAAUACCGUGACCUACAUUUUCCAUGACUGGUUUCCUCAGUAUCUCCUUAAAUGCUUUC